UGGUGUCCGCGGAAGGACAUUACCGAGUUUACAACUCCCAAACCCCUGUGAACAUACCUAUACGUUGCCUCGGCGGAUCAGCCCGCGCCCCGUAAAACGGGACGGCCCGCCCGAGGACCCCUAAACUCUGUUUUUAGUGGAACUUCUGAGUAAAACAAACAAAUAAAUCAAAACUUUCAACAACGGAUCUCUUGGUUCUGGCAUCGAUGAAGAACGCAGCAAAAUGCGAUAAGUAAUGUGAAUUGCAGAAUUCAGUGAAUCAUCGAAUCUUUGAACGCACAUUGCGCCCGCCAGUAUUCUGGCGGGCAUGCCUGUUCGAGCGUCAUUUCAACCCUCAAGCUCAGCUUGGUGUUGGGACUCGCGGUAACCCGCGUUCCCCAAAUCGAUUGGCGGUCACGUCGAGCUUCCAUAGCGUAGUAAUCAUACACCUCGUUACUGGUAAUCGUCGCGGCCACGCCGUUAAACCCCAACUUCUGAAUGUGACCUCGAUCAGUAGAUGCG
RNAcentral lists this non-coding RNA (501 nucleotides) under Fusarium citri. Its description in RNAcentral is "sequence contains ITS1, 5.8S rRNA gene, ITS2, 28S rRNA gene". The stretch from base 172 to 325 matches the Rfam family "5.8S ribosomal RNA". Lineage: Eukaryota; Fungi; Ascomycota; Sordariomycetes; Hypocreales; Nectriaceae. The record is from RNAcentral.